GUUAUCGAUAAUACUUAAGCAACCAAAUUGUGGGACUAACACCUGUAUUGUGACAGGAUAUAAAUAUAUAUAUAUAUAAAUUCGCCUGCUCGUUCGUCUGCCUGAGCACCGGUAAGAAUACUUCUUUUUCCAAUUGGACAUAUCGCUACAUCUCACCCGUUUAAUUUGAGGAUUACCACAUACAGGAUACAUACAGAUCUUCUCCACUGGGACAAAGAAACAGCACGAUCUACAUCUGGAAAUCACAGCGAAAUCAUCCACACUAUGGAUCCAACACACUCACCGCGCUUAUACAUACACAAAUGAACAACUGCAGGUGCGUUGAUGGUUUAUUUUAAAACUCGAUUUACACGCGUAAAACGUUCUUCAUCGUCUUCGAAUUCGACAAUUGGAGAGUGGGGAAGCUUUGCUAAGCCAGCCAGAUACACGAGCACAACUAUGCUCAUAUAUAUUCUUGUUGUGAUUUGCGAAAAAGCACUAGUCCAUGAAAAAUAUGAAAAAUAAUGUAUGUAUGUUUUAAACUAAUUACACGCCUAUCAAGUACUUCAAUCGAACCAGCAGAAAUAUACUGCAACUCAAUCAGCCCUGAUGGACAUUCACUGGACAUUCACACGACACACUUGCUAUUUCAGCUCUAGAUCAGCAGUCUCACUUUCCUUCGCCCUCCGCUUUUUUUUAAAAACAUCAAUAAACUAAACAAAGUUAUACGAAAAACACUCAACAUAGUUACACUAACAUAGUUACACUGAACAAAAUUACAUCACAAAAUUGUUACAAAAUUACACUGAAAAGAUAACACUUUAAAUUAAAAAAAUCAAAAAACAA
Scaptodrosophila lebanonensis is the source of this 825-nucleotide long non-coding RNA. RefSeq lists it as uncharacterized. NCBI's taxonomy places the organism in Eukaryota, Metazoa, Arthropoda, Insecta, Diptera, Drosophilidae. The transcript has 7 exons. The record is from RefSeq and is a predicted model, not a curated record.